RNAcentral lists this ribosomal RNA (253 nucleotides) under uncultured bacterium. RNAcentral's name for it is "partial 16S ribosomal RNA". It matches the Rfam family "Bacterial small subunit ribosomal RNA", at positions 524 to 776 of the family's 1533-position model. The record is from RNAcentral.
UACGUAGGGUGCGAGCGUUGCCCGGAUUUAUUGGGCGUAAAGGGCGCGUAGGCGGCUCUGCACGUCCGUUGUGAAAUCGCCCGGCUCAACUGGGCGGGGUCAGCGGAUACGGCGGAGCUCGAGCAAGCUAGAGGGCAAUGGAAUUCCCGGUGUAGUGGUGGAAUGCGUAGAUAUCGGGAGGAACACCAGUGGCGAAGGCGGCCAUCUGGAUCAACACUGACGCUGAGGCACGAAAGCGUGGGGAGCAAACAGG